CUGUAAGCCGUUGAAGGUGUGCUGUGAGGCAUGCUGGAGGUAUCAGAAGUGCGAAUGCUGACAUAAGUAACGAUAAAGCGGGUGAAAAGCCCGCUCGCCGGAAGACCAAGGGUUCCUGUCCAACGUUAAUCGGGGCAGGGUGAGUCGACCCCUAAGGCGAGGCCGAAAGGCGUAGUCGAUGGGAAACAGGUUAAUAUUCCUGUACUUGGUGUUACUGCGAAGGGGGGACGGAGAAGGCUAUGUCGGCCGGGC
This 252-nucleotide ribosomal RNA is filed under the name Citrobacter koseri. Its description in RNAcentral is "partial 23S ribosomal RNA". It matches the Rfam family "Bacterial large subunit ribosomal RNA", at positions 1241 to 1496 of the family's 2925-position model. The record is from RNAcentral. Lineage: Bacteria; Pseudomonadati; Pseudomonadota; Gammaproteobacteria; Enterobacterales; Enterobacteriaceae.